UUUGAAACUACUUAUGUAAAGGAAAUUUGGUAUGAACAGAUCUUUUUUUCCAUCAAAUUUUUGAAAAUUGCCACAUUGCAUAUGCUGCCCAUAAUUUAAUAACAUACAUUUACUUUGAUGUUAGGUCUCUGUGGACAAAAUAAGCUAUUUGAGUAUAAUUUCAAGUAAGAAUUUAAGAGUCAAGUAAGAAUUUAAGCUGCAUUAAUUUUUCUGAAGUAAAAGAAAUAUAUAUUUUCUUAUCUAGAGGUGAAAAGAAGCUUGGUAAAAAAAAAAAUAUGGCCUCAAAACAGGUGUAAUGCAUCAACUGAGUUAGGAAUGUCAGCAGAGCAACCCACAGAAAUUCACGUUUCAAGGCAUUGCUUAGUUCCAUCUGAAAAACAUAUGGUCUUUGGAGUCUGAAAGGACAGGUAAAAUUCCAGCUGCUCUCUUUAAUGCCAUUUUUGGUAAGUAAACCUUUCUCUUCCUUAUUGGCAGAAUUGGGAUAAUUGAUCAUAUUUGUUGUCUGAAUUAAUACGUUAAGCCAAAGUACCUGAUAUGUGGCAAAUGUUGCUAACAAAAACAACACAAUAAUAACUUUGAUAGUAAGAGCUGACAAUUAUUGUGUGCUUACCCUGGGCCAGUCAUGCAAGACACUGAAGAGUGUGCAAGUUUUCAAUUAUUUUGCUUUCCUGCUUAGUUUGGAAAAAAUCCAUGCAUUUCCCAUUUCCCUUUAAAAUGCAUAAUCUACACUUCCAUAAAAUACUUUGCAUUAUAGUCAGUAUUAUAGCAGGUUACCAUACUCAUCAUUGUAUGGUAAUAAUAGCUGGGAGUAAUAGCUGAUAUUUACUGAAUAUAUGCCAGGUACUUCAUAUGAAUAAUUUAUUUUAAAAUCUUAUUGUUUCAUUUUUUCUUCGAUUGUACCUAAAUUUAUAAUCCAUUAAUUCCAUCACCUUAUCACUCUCCAUCAUGCCUUGAUGAAUUCCCUGUUUUAUGAACUGAAUUGUGCCCUCCCCAUGAAAUUCAUGGGUUGAAGCCCUUAACCCUUAAUGUGACCGUAUUUGGAGAUAGGGGCUUUAAGGAGGGAAUUGAGGUUAAAUGAGACCACAAAAGUGGGGCCCCAAUCUAAUAGCACUAACAUGCUUAUAAAAAGAGGAAGAAAUGCCACAGAUCUGUCCCUCUCUUUAGGUCCACACAGAGAAAAGGCCAUGUGAGGACACAGCUAGAAGGCAGCCAUCUGAGAGCCAAGCAGACAGGUCUCAUCAGAUGCCAGCCCUGCCAGCACCUUUAUCUUGGACUUCCACUCUCCUAAGUUGUCAGAAAAUAAAUUUAUGUUGUUUAAGCCAACAUUCUAUUCCAUUUACUCUGUUAUAGCAACCUGAGCAGUCAUACCCUCUCUCUCCUCCUUAUUCCACUUAGCAUCCAUAGUGAGUAAUAAUAAUCAUUUAAUGGUAACUCUUCAACUUCCUUGCCCCUUGCAUCCUUCAUUUUACUUGAUGGGUCAACUUUAUCUUUCCACAUGACCCACUUAAUCUAUCUUUCCACCUGUUGCUUACCUACAAAAUGAACAUGGCUAGAGAAGAAGUCACACACCAUGCUGACUUUCAAUUCAUGAACAUAAAUAUCAAGUGAGCUCAUGGAGUCACCCAAAAUUUGAGUUUCCUUCGAUCAUUCAUUCUUCUACUCCUUUUAAUAUUAUAUAUCUUUCUGAUUAAAACUCAAGCAUCUCCCCUUCACUUUCCAUAUCUGCUGAUGCUUUUGCUUUCUAAACUACUAAGUGAUCAGAAUCAAAUAGAAAAGGGUCUUCAUAGGCCCAGUGCGGUGGCUCACGCCUGUAAUGCCAGCACUUCAGAAAGCUGAGGCGGGCAGAUCAUGAGGUCAGGAGAUCGAGAGCAUCCUGGCUAACAGGUUGAAACCCUGUAUCUACUAAAAAUACAAAAAAUUAGCCAGGCGUGGUGGCGGGUGCCUGUAGUCCCAGCUACUCAGGAGGCUGAGGCAGGAGAAUGGCAUGAACCUGGGAGGUGGAGCUUGCAGUGAGCUGAGAUCGCCCCACUGCCCUCCAGCCUGGGCGACAGAGCAAGACUCCGUCUCAAAAAAAAAAAAAAAAAAUAGGGUCUUCAUAAGCUUCCAUCAUUACUUGCACUCAUUUAACAUAUUCUGUUCUGUACCAACAAAUGCUGCCUUCCUCUUGAAACUAUAAACUGUUCAUGUAGUUCACUAAGAUGCUUAAUUUCAUCUUCUCUCACACACUCAGGACACCUCCUUAACAACUCUCUUAUUUUCAACAUUAUCCACUCUAUCCUGUGCUACUCCCCUCAGCACACACCUAUGCUGUUAUUACCUCCUUCUCAAAAAAUUUCUCUGGACUUUACUUACACCUCCAGCUACGAUCUAAUUUUUAUGUAAUCUAUGAAUAAUUUCGUAGUAAUAUAUAUAAUUCACAUAUACUUAGAAAAAUACCUAGAAAAUCAUUUGACUAAACUUUGAAAAGUAGCCAUCUCAGAGUAAUGGAUUAUCAUAUAAUCUAUUUCUCAAUCAUACUUUCUGUAAGCCUUGAUAACUGCCAUGCAUACAUAUUCAGUUAUGAGUGCACAUAAUUAUAUAACUAUAUAAAAUAUGAAUCAGAUAAUUCAAUAAUUAAAUAGAAUUAUUGCAUAUAAUUAAAAUGCAAAAUAAAGAUAAAAGUACGACCAUGUUUGUGGCAUUGUAGAUGGCACAUCUGCCUUGAAAAGCAAUGUGGCAAUCUCUAGCAGAAUUACAAGUGUACAUUCCUAGAAAUCCAACAAUUUCAUUUUUUAAAAUACACUUCAGAGGAAAAAGGAUACCUAUGUAAGGAUUUACAUGGGAGAAAUAAUUGUAAUCAUGGACAAUUUGAAAUAACCUAAAUAUGUGAGUAGAAUGCUUAAAAUGUUGGUAUUGGUUCCAGAUCCACAUAGGAGAUAUUGAAAAUAAUGUUAUAUAAAAAUAGAAAGAGAGGAUAAUACAUAGAACACGUUGCUGUGCAGUGUUUAAGAACACAUAUAAGAUAAUCUUAUAGUAAAUAGGAUGGAAGGAUUCUCAUAAAAGUCAGAUAGUUGUUGCCCCUGGAGAGUUUGAAUAGGAAUAUUACUGAGGGUAUUCAUCAAAGGGGACUUAGCUAAAUCUCUAAAGUUUUAUUUUAUUUUUGAAAGAAAAUGAGAAGCAAAUAAGACAAGAUAUUAGCAGUAGAUAUUCUAGGUGAUGAAAACAUGUUUAUAUUGUAUCUAAAAGUAUAUGUGUGUAUAUAUCCCUGUGUAUGUGUGUGUGUGUGUGUGUGUGUGUGUGUAUCCAUUUCUAUAAUUUAAAUUCUUUUAAAGGAAAAAGAAUUUUAAAAAGAGGAAGAAAAACAGAUACACUAAGGUGAAAGUACAUGGUCCAUAGAAAUUUGACUGCUAAUAAUCUUGACAGAUCUCAUUUACAGAUGCAGAGAUGAGAAUUCUUUCCAUUUAAUGGCUUUGCAACAUUACAUAUUAUUUCUUAAAAGAUAUGUGCAGGAAGGAUUAUUUUUAUGCAAUUAAGAUGGUGAAAAAUUAAGGUGCUGACAACUCCAAGAAUAAGAACUAUUCUGUGGGGAAGAAGGCUGAGCAAAAUGUUCAGAGAGAAGCUUCUAGUGAUCAUUCCCCACACUUCAGGAACACCACAUUGAGCAAUUGUCUAUUCAAAAAAGCACCUUUAUAAGUUCCAAAAACCAGGUGAGAAAUCACAGUACCUGGUUUUAAUAUUACAUCAAGGAAAGAAGCACUGCAGAGGACAGAAAAGACAGUCUUGAAUUGACAAUAUUUUUCAUGUGGAGUUGAAUUUAGUUUGACAGUAUUUUGUUGAGGAUUUUUACAUUUAUGUUCAUCAGUGAUUGCAUCUCCUAUUUUAAGUGAUACAAAUGGUUACGGAUUGUGUUCUUAAUUACACAGCUUUAUUUGGUUUUGAAUGUUCACAUCAAUCUUUGUUACUAGAAGUCCAGUAACUUCAUAAAUGUUACUACACACAAUUUGUGAUUUUCCCUGUCUAAACACUUUAGUAACACACAUCUUAUGAUUCCAAGCAGUAAUCUUGUCUUAAAGUGUUUACUUGCCUUCUUAUUUCUCAAAAACAAGCUAGAAACAGCUGCCUGUAGCAUAAUUCAAUUAACCAAAAUGCAGAAAUAAUCAGCCUUAUUCACAGCAAAAGUGAACCUUUAUGGAGCCCUGCCUUGAAAAAAAUCUGACUGUAAUCUAUACAACCAAGACCUGCAUAUUAUAAGCAGUGAAGAUCUAUGAGAUUAGGGGGGAAUAUGUUUUUCAACUGUCUUGUUUUUAAGGAUGCAUGUAAAUUUAGCAUAUUUAUUUAUCUGAACACUUAAUCAAAAGAUAUAAGAAAUGUAUCUUGGAGAAUAUUUGGAAUAUUAGAAAACAUGUGGACACAGAUUUUUAGCUUUCUUUCUAUACUCAAAUAUGGUCUGCUAAUAUGAUGAUGUCAACAUGAUUAGAAGUAUUGCUGGUAAAUAAUUGUUAAACUGCACUCUUUACAAGAUGCUGAAGAUUGCUUUUCUGAUAUUUUUUGUCUAAUUCCAUGCCAAGGAUUAUUAUACGCACAAACAUAAUUAAUAUAUAAAUACCUCAUGCACCCUGACAAUGUGUGCUACAGAUAACCAGCAAUACUGGCUCUUAACACUUGCGAUCUCACUAAAACAAAGUGGAAAGCUAACUUUAUACAGUAAACCUAUAUAUACUAUAAUAAAACUUUAUUCAAUCC
Molecule: long non-coding RNA, 4722 nt
Filed under: Homo sapiens (human)
Lineage: Eukaryota; Metazoa; Chordata; Mammalia; Primates; Hominidae
Description: HSALNT0109044
Source: RNAcentral